This 504-nucleotide ribosomal RNA is filed under the name uncultured bacterium. RNAcentral's name for it is "partial 16S ribosomal RNA". It matches the Rfam family "Bacterial small subunit ribosomal RNA", at positions 29 to 523 of the family's 1533-position model. The record is from RNAcentral.
AUUGAACGCUGGCGGCAGGCCUAACACAUGCAAGUCGGACGGUAGCACAGAGAGCUUGCUCUCGGGUGACGAGUGGCGGACGGGUGAGUAAUGUCUGGGGAUCUGCCCGAUAGAGGGGGAUAACCACUGGAAACGGUGGCUAAUACCGCAUAACGUCGCAAGACCAAAGAGGGGGACCUUCGGGCCUCUCACUAUCGGAUGAACCCAGAUGGGAUUAGCUAGUAGGCGGGGUAACGGCCCACCUAGGCGACGAUCCCUAGCUGGUCUGAGAGGAUGACAGGCCACACUGGAACUGAGACACGGGCCAGACUACUACGGGAGGCAGCAGUGGGGAAUAUUGCACAAUGGGCGCAAGCCUGAUGCAGCCAUGCCGCGUGUAUGAAGAAGGCCUUCGGGUUGUAAAGUACUUUCAGCGGGGAGGAAGGCGAUGUGGUUAAUAACCGCGUCGAUUGACGUUACCCGCAGAAGAAGCACCGGCUAACUCCGUGCCAGCAGCCGCGGUAA